CCUACGGGUGGCAGCAGUGAGGAAUAUUGGUCAAUGGACGAGAGUCUGAACCAGCCAAGUAGCGUGAAGGAUGACUGCCCUCUGGGUUGUAAACUUCUUUUAUAAAGGAAUAAAACGAGGCACGUGUGCCUUUUUGCAUGUACUUUAUGAAUAAGGAUCGGCUAACUCCGUGCCAGCAGCCGCGGUAAUACGGAGGAUCCGAGCGUUAUCCGGAUUUAUUGGGUUUAAAGGGAGCGUAGAUGGGUUGUUAAGUCAGUUGUGAAAGUUUGCGGCUCAACCGUAAAAUUGCAAUUGAUACUGGCAGUCGUGAGUACAGUUGAGGUAGGCGGAAUUCGUGGUGUAGCGGUGAAAUGCUUAGAUAUCACGAAGAACCCCGAUUGCGAAGGCAGCUUACUAAACUGUGACUGACAUUGAUGCUCGAAAGUGUGGGUAUCAAACAGGAUUAGAUACCCGGGUAGUC
This 460-nucleotide ribosomal RNA is filed under the name uncultured bacterium. Its description in RNAcentral is "partial 16S ribosomal RNA". It matches the Rfam family "Bacterial small subunit ribosomal RNA", at positions 338 to 795 of the family's 1533-position model. The record is from RNAcentral.